UAAGGAAUAUUGGUCAAUGGACGCAAGUCUGAACCAGCCAUGCCGCGUGAAGGAUGAAGGUCCUCUGGAUUGUAAACUUCUUUUAUCUGGGACGAAAACGGGAUGUUUAUCUCAAUUGACGGUACCAGAGGAAUAAGCACCGGCUAACUCCGUGCCAGCAGCCGCGGUAAUACGGAGGGUGCAAGCGUUAUCCGGAUUCACUGGGUUUAAAGGGUGCGUAGGUGGGCAGAUAAGUCAGUGGUGAAAUCUUCCGGCUUAACCGGGAAACUGCCGUUGAUACUAUUUGUCUUGAAUAUUGCGGAGGUAAGCGGAAUAUGUCAUGUAGCGGUGAAAUGCUUAGAUAUGACAUAGAACACCAAUUGCGAAGGCAGCUUACUACAUAUAAAUUGACGCUGAGGCACGAAAGCGUGGGGAUCAACCA
Molecule: ribosomal RNA, 421 nt
Filed under: uncultured bacterium
Lineage: Bacteria
Description: bacterial SSU rRNA
Rfam family: Bacterial small subunit ribosomal RNA
Source: RNAcentral